Molecule: long non-coding RNA, 7068 nt
Filed under: Marmota monax (woodchuck)
Lineage: Eukaryota; Metazoa; Chordata; Mammalia; Rodentia; Sciuridae
Source: RNAcentral
GUGGGUUUUUCUACUUUUAAAGAGGCAUUUUUUUUCCAGCUGUUUUGGGGCAGAUGCAGGGCUUUGACCGCUGCCCCCUGUGGUGCCGCCAGAUAAUUCUGCCACUUGAAAAUGCUAGUUUAACUGGGCACACGUUGCCUUAGAAUUUGGUAAUGGUGGCAUCAUCUGCUGAGGGGCCCAUUUUUUAUGUUAAAAGAGUUUUUGAGAUGCUCCCAGGAGAGUGAGCACUAAGUAAACAAAAUGCAGGGAGAUGGUCCUUUGAGAGAAGACUAUCCACUUACCCUGGCUCCGGAGCUCACAGAGUGGGAAAUGACAAAAUUUUGGCAUGGCCAUCCAAGCACAGACCCACUAGCACCAGCAUAAACUGUUGGCACUUCCCUGGCUGUAUCCCAAGUAGGAACAGACCAGGUAAGACCUGGACAUCUGGGGAAAUUUGGGGAGCAAACAUAAGGGCGAGGUCACAGGGCAAACCCAAGCUGGAGUCAGCAGCUGCAGCCAUGACCAUCAGCCCCGCUUCUCCUGCCUCAUGCCAACUGACCCAUCAGCCAGGGGAAUACAAGGUCACCGCUUCAACCUCCUGGACCCUGGGUGAAUGGCGAAGUUCCACAAGAUGUGGGUCGCAGAGGGACUACAGGUGGGGGAAGGUAGACUGAUUGAAGGGAGUAUGACACAUUGGGGAAGUUUCCAGGGCACUUACCCCGAGCAGGACCCUAUGGUGGGCAACAAGCCCAGCCCUCACAGGGUGAAUGUGGAUGCAAAGCCCGCCCCAGUAGGGAGAACCCAUGUCUUGCACUGCCAAAGUGUCAGGUGCAGCCACAGCUGCUGGCAAUGGCCAUGCCCACUAGCCAUAUGCUGUUUUCUCACCAUGACAACCACUGGCAAAAGCAGACAGUACAUGCCAAGCUACCAUGGGGUUUGGCCAGGACUGCUGGUAAUGGCACAUGCGUAUACACAAAGUUUCAAACAGAGCCUCGUGGAAUAUUCUGGUUACGUGCUUUUACAAAAAAAAAAAAAAAAAAAACUCUGUAGCCACAUGGAGAGAGAAAUUUGGCAGAUAAGUCCCACCUCUAGCAGUCUUCCCAUUGUUCAUUUCAUUGUCACCCAAACAGGGCUUUUUGGUCCUGGCUUGCAACCCUUAACCUAUACUUUCUGUUUCACACAGGGCUGCUCCCGAAGCUACACAGAGCCUACAUUUUACUUAAGAAUGCCCAUCUGUAAAUACUAACAAAAGAUAUCCUUUUCAGGCAAAAUUUAGUUUCACGUUCCUGCCUGUAUGUGUUCUCAAACUAAAAAAAAAAGAUUUUUAUCCCUUGCCAGGUUCUCUUAGAAACUCUUAAUAGCUGUUUUAUUAAGAAAAGUUGCAGAGGUAAUGUAGUAAUUAUAAGAGGUUAUAAGGAUUAGUGUUCUCCAAAUUAAAGUUGUACAUUAGUUUUGAACAAUAAAAGUUUUAAGCUUUUUUGUAAAUUAAUUUAUCUUAUAUAAAUUCUCUGACUGGACCUAUAAUUCAUGAAACAUUGUAAGACAUGUAUGUUGCCACCUUAAAUGGGAAACAACCUUAAUCAUAUUAUUUAAAAGACAGUUUAGUGACACCUACUUAAAGGAUAAUAUUCUGAGAUAUAGAGAUAUUUUAAGACAUUCUCUCUGAAAGAGAUUGGGGGGUUCUACUUAAAUUGUUAGGAUGAAUCAGCUAGUUAUCUCAUUUUCAUAUCUAGCCUCAACUACUAUCAUCAAAGAAGGGCUUAAAAAUUGGAAAGAUCAAAGGAACCUCUAAAACUUAAUAUAGACCAAAACAAAUUUAGGGAGUUUUUUUUUUAAAGGUCCAAGUAAAUGUACUGUAGGGUUUCAGAAUGUAUGGCAUAUUAUGCUAUUACUUAGCUAAACUAUGCAAUAGAAGGCCAUCUUAAAAACAGUUUUAAAGGAGAUUUAUCUUAACCAUGUCCCACUAACACAGAAUAGGGACAAGCCUGACAAUUUGGAGCAGACAGUUCCCCAGGACAGAUUGGUAUCUAAAAGAUAAACAAAAUUCCUAAAAUAUAAUUUUAGGGGCUGGGGCUGUAGUUCAAUGGUAGAGUGCCUGCCUCACACAUGUGAGGCACUGGGUUCAAUCUUUGGCACCACAUAAAAAUAAAUAUAUUGUGUCCAACUACAACUAAAAAAAAAAUUAAAGAGUUUUUUUAAAAUCAUAAUUUUAGUAAGUCUUUAGAAAAAUUCUACUAUUUUUCAUAGACUUAUAAAAGACAAUACAGUACCUUAAACUUAUAGGGGGCCACCCAUUUGAAAAGGUGUUUAUCUCCAGUUAGCCCUAGACAUUCCAAGGGAUUUACAAAGGUGAACAUAAUUCUAGCCAAGUUUAGAUGUUACAGCAUAGUUAAAUGCAGCCCAAAUGAAGAAACAGAAAGGCAAACAUACAGACAGCAAGAGAUUAAAAUGCUAGUCAUAGCUCCAAGAGAAAUAAAUUUCCUGGGGAAAAUGUUUGCUCCUAAGUUACAGAUUUUGAAACCCCCUUAACAUUAAAACAGGGUCUUACUUCAAGCACCUGGCAACAGUUUAUUACUGAAAAAGAAAGGAAAAAAAAAAAAAAACUCUGAAAAUAGUUAUGCCUAAAAUAUUAGACAAACAGCCAUAAAUAAAUCAGCUCAACAGUCAAUAGCAUAUUUCAAUAAAAAACUAACAUAAUAGACCUUUUCUAAACUUUAAUAAUAUCUGACAAUGUCCUACAUACAUUGAUAUUUUUAAAUUACUAACACCAUAAUUAGACAUAAUUAUUAGAAUUAAUUUUACUACGUUAAAUAAAGUUAUUAAGGUGCUCAUACAACUGUUUUUUUUUUAAUGCACAAAGAUUGUUUGUAAUAGAUCUCUAAAAAUGUUAUUGCUAGCUCAAUGUCAUAAAUUCUAAAUUAGAUCACUGUCUUAAACCACACUGUUGACUUGUUUUUACCCAUUAACAUUUGAGAUACUAAUUCUCCCUACUUAGGUCAACACUAAGUUGAUAACCAUAAUGCCAGUUUUUCAUGGAUUCAUAGAUAAAUUACUGUUCAUUUCUCUAUUUCAUUCUUUAUUAAUGGUAACAAAAUAUCUUCUCUAGGGUUAUUUAACAUAUGUACCUCCUAUUUUGGAUAGAUGUCUACAUAUUUCUCAUGCUCCUAGUAAAGACCACCACUACUACAUUAAGAUCUCUGUCUCUUGCUUCUUUCCAAAUUAAGAUAAAUAUUUAAGUUAAUCUAGAGCUAAUUUCAGCAUGCAAAUAUUUAUAUACAACUUAUUGUAUUCUUUAUUUUUGGUAAUUCUGUUAAAGUCAAAAUCAAGUCAUACAUUUAGUAAAGGGUAAGUUUCUAUUUACCUUGUUCCCAUUAAAUAACUUUGUCAAGUUUCACAACCAGCUAGAAAUAAUAAAUCUUUUCUUAUUAUUUAAAUACUUGUACUACAUUAAACAUUGCCUGUAUAACUUAAAACUAAUGAUACUAUGGCUUAUGCCAAGUCUCUACUCAAUUUUAUUAAAUAAAAAGAUGGGAAAAGAGAAUUCCAUAGCACAUAAUAGAUGUUACAAAAAUAUUUUUUUAAAUUUUUCUUAAUUGUGAUACUGGGAGUCUUAGUGCUACUGAACGUGAUUAGUAAGUUAAAUCAAAUUUCAAAAGAGUUUUAACUGGUUGUUGUGGAAAGGUUGAAAAACCUCACACAGGAAGAUAAAUUUCCAGCUGCAGAGUUUAUAGCCAUGCAGCUUCAUGGGCUUCUCAGGUAAGUAAAAAUUAUGAACAAACAUCCAUGGACCCAUUUCUCAAGUCCACCCUUAAAGAAAACACACACACACACACACGUUGUAGUUGGACAGAAUACUUUUAUUUAUCUUUAUGUGGUGCUAAGAAUUGAAUCCAGUGUCUUGAACAUGCUAAGCAAGUGCUCUACCGCUGACCCACAAACACAGCCCCUCAGGUACACCUUUGAUGUUCUUUGCAGUGAAGACUGGAAAGUCUACCCAUGCAACUAGAUGAAUUAUACUCACUGAAAUGGUCAGUUAUAGCUAUAUGUUGAUCCUAUGGUAAACAGGCUGUCUGGCAGUAUCUUUUGAGAAAAAGACAGUAUAUGAGAAUCCUAAACAAGCCAAUUAUGCUGAUCCUUACAAAUUAAGACAAUAUAUAUGGAUAAUUGUCAAAAUAGAAAGAUAGUUGAAAUAGAAAUUUUCUAUAUAGGCCAGUUAUUUACAUAAAAUAUUCAACAAUGUAUUAUUGCCUUAAUCAUUCUACAAUAGAAAUUGGCACAUUUUCUAAAUGGAUGGGUUUGGCCUAUGUAUUGUCAACAUAAGGUGUCUAGAAAUGGUCUCCUACAAUAACAUGAAGAUGACAUAACUCUUAGAAACCUGAAGUUUCAGUGAGAUAGCACUCAAAAGGAUGUUUUGAUGUUUGACUUCUGCCUUCAGAAUGUUUACAUUACUGACAGAACUAAAAGACUCCUUAAAUGUGAGAAUUGAAAAGAUGGUUAGAUAUUCUGUAACCUAUAAAAGGUACAGCUUGCCUAAUUUUAUCACUUUAUAGUAGGAUAAAAAGGACAUUGAUCCUCAUCAAUGUCUCUUUGUCCUGUUGCCAGCUAGCAUGCUGAAGUUAAAAUUCAGGCCUUGAAACAGGUGCAUGCCAAUUAACCAGACCUAGGCAAGUUCUUGAUCUCAUGAUCAAUGAAGUGACUAUUUAAAGUAUUAUUCAUUGUUCCUAUACUACAGCUUCUGUGGCUAUGUUUUAAAACUUACAACAUGUAAAUUUUCUUAAUAAUUUGACAUAAAUUACUUCCAAGAACCUUCAUAGUCAGAUAAAUGCUAAUGGAAGGAUUGAAACUAAGUUAAAUGCUCUAGAAGCCACUGUAAUGAGUAAUGCAAAUGAGCCCCCUGCUCCAUGGUUUGUGGAAAGGCUUAAAUGCUAUGCAAAUAAAAAUGUCCGUGUUACUGUGGCCAAACAGAAUGCUUCCAAGUAAAAUUGGGAAAAGAUUAAGAAUCUUCUGAUGAGUUUUUGGCAGAGUAAUCAUAAUAACCUGGAUCUUCCAAAGCUAAUUAAAUGACCUUAAUCCUAAAUAUGCUGAAACAUUCUAUAUAGUAUAUUAUUGAAAUGAUAUGUUUUCUACUAAUUUUUUUUAUGUCUCAAGAGUAGGUCAUGGUCUUCUCAGAACAAGAAUCCAGUGACUAAAACAUAAAUUACCAGUUGCCUUUUUUUUUUUUUUUUUUAAUUUUAAGAAAAGAGAAAUAUGUCAGGAGCUGCCCUGGAUACAAGAUCCCUUUCAGUCCUGAUGCACCAGGUUCUGAACAUAUUGUCUUUAGUCUGCCACAGUAGUUCCAGGUCACAGUAAUUUGGGCAUUACCCUAGCUUGGAAAACGAGGUGUGGCUCCAGAAUUAGGGGUUAUCUGCUGGGGUUGAGUUACACUCAUCUGUUCCUUUAUAAUCUUACCCCUUUGCCCUUUUGGGGAUAGAAUGUUUUGUGGAACCUUCCCUUGUAUAUCUUCUAUAUAAGAAUAAAGAAUUUCAGUUCCUCUCUCUCUUCCCAUGGACCUUUAAGGUCAGAGAGCCAUCACAGAUUUUGAGAUGGUACUUUUGUGUGUUUGUAUGCUUUCUUUGUUGGUUUCUUAAUUUUUUAAUAGUCAGAUUUUGUGAAGCCAGCAUUAGGUCACCAGCUAGGAUAGAUGAUGAUAACAGACAUUUCAGACCUAAGAAGAUAUUCAUUACAGUUCCAAAAUUACAUCUUUGUUGUUAUUUUUUUUAUUUGUCAAGUUGCAAUUUUCUUUUUUCUUGUGAGAUGAUCACAUAGAGAAAGCAAAAUCUUUAGAAACUGCCAUCCAGUUCUUGGAGAAAAGUUAGAAAUACUGCAACCAUUUAAAAUGUAACAUGGGGAAAAAUAGUUGAUAAAACAAAGAGGUGAUUCUGGUAUUGAAAAUAUGAAUAGAGCCAAGUGCAGUGGCCCAUACCUGAAACCCCAUUGUCUUGGGAGGCUGAGGCUGGAGGAUCAUGAGUUCAAAGCCAACCUCAGCAAGGGUGAGGGGCUAAGCAACUCAGUGAGACCCUGCUUCUAAAUGAAAUAUAAAUAAGGCUGGGAAUGUGGCUCAGGGUUUGAGUGCCCAUCAGUUCAAUUUCUAGUACACCCCUCAAAAAAAAAAAAAAAGUGAAUAUAAACAGAAACCUGGAGAUGUAGGAAUUCAUUCUGAGACUGAAGGGCUGCCAUAUUAAUAUAUUUAUAGAUCCAAUUUGCAACCAAAAAGAUCAAAAGUUGUAUGAAGAAACUGGACAUGUGGUACAUUCAAAGGCUGAAUAAACAAUAAACCAACAGAAUCCAUCUCAGGAAUGGCACUCCCCAAUCAUAAUAUAUUUAUGCUGCAGCCCUGAAACAUGAGAGCAACCACAUGGCUUGUUCUUUAAAGAUGGGGGUGUGGUUUGUAUGUGUUUUUAUGACAGAAUUAAGGCACAUAAGGAUUUUUUUAAAAUGUUCCAGGGCAAUAGUGGUCCAAACAUUUUUUUUUAGUGUCUUUUUACUUUUGAAAGAAAGUGAUGGGCUUUGUUCAAAGAUAAUUCUCUUCAUUUUACAUGUAUGCAAACAUACCAUAGGAGAAUGAAUUUGCUGUUUUGGGUAUGGAAUGUUGGUUCAAGGUGGUUUAUGCUAAUGAAGAGCCUUGGAUAACAUCAACUUUAAGAAAACAUUUUAGUGCAGAGGGAAUUGAGACUUCAGCAAGGGAAGAGCAACACCCAACACAUCAAAGGUUUUGGAGAUCCAAGGAAAAUACUGUGCCUAAAGUCUUCAACCUACAUGGAGAGAGGCCCUUAAAGUCAAUUGUACAGACUUCAAAAGAGAAGUGAUGGAUGGGCCAUUGAGGGGUUUCAUUAAUCAUUCCAUGCUUCAUCCAUGAUGAAUAUUGAUUGCCAACAUCCUGGAUAAUUCUUUUCUGAAAUAUAUCAUCAUGACUUAAAGCUAAAGCCAACUCUAAACUUGUCUCCCCCCCACUUUUUUUUAACCAUGGAUUGAACUCAGGGGUACUUAGCCACUGAACAAAACACCAGACUCUAUUUUGUAUUUUAUUUAAACACAGUGUCUCACUGAGUU